Molecule: ribosomal RNA, 380 nt
Filed under: uncultured eukaryote
Lineage: Eukaryota
Description: partial 18S ribosomal RNA
Rfam family: Eukaryotic small subunit ribosomal RNA
Source: RNAcentral
CAAUAGCGUAUAUUAAAGCUGUUGCGGUUAAAAAGCUCGUAGUUGGAUUUCUGUCAAGUACAACUGGUCCGCCCUCCGGGUGAGCACAUAGUUUGGUCUUGGCAUCUUGCUGGAAAUUGUUGCUGCACUUGGCUGUGUGGCGCAGUGUCCAGCACUUUCACUUUGAGGAAAUUGGAGUGUUUCAAGCAGGCAAUGCCUUUGAACACAGUAGCAUGGAAUAAUUAGAUUGGGCUUUUGCUCCAAUUUGUCGGUUUCUGGAGCUGAGGUGAGAAUUAAUGGGGAUUGUUGGGGGCAUCCGAAUUUAGCCGUCAGAGGUGAAAUUCUUGGAUCGGCUAAAGACGGACAACUGCGAAAGCGUCUGCCCAGGAUGUUUUCAUUGA